UCGAUGUGUGAUGCGGAAAUGGACUGGCACGAGCGUGCUUUUCGACAAAAGUCAAAAAGGAGUUCAUUUUUCAACGCUGUUUGUACAAUGGCUGUUUUUUCUCAAUAAUCGAUUUUUUUUUACAGUUUUUAGAUUGUUCCGACAAAUUACUUACUAUUUUAUCUUUUGAACGCUUGUUUGGUGCAUGAAGUGGUAUUGUAAAGAAAAUAUUUUGGAUAAUAAGUUGUUCUUUGGUGACUUCCAUGAAGGGUAAUUUUUAAUGCAGGAUAUGCGAAUGUUGUCAAUUAGUCCCAGGCUUGGAAUUCAGGUAACAAUCAAUGGCUUUAAAGCACUGGUUAAAUUCAUUGGUACACCUGAAUUCAGAUCCCUUCAUGGAAGUCCGCCUUAUAUCAUUCCUAAAAGAAUAAGUCAAGAUAUAGUUGAGUCAUUCUUUUCUAUGCAAAGGCAAGCAUGUGGUGGUACAAAUAAUAUGACAGCGUACACUUAUGGUUACAAUGUCAAUAGUAUGAUAAUUCGUUCUGAAGCUAAGCGUCUGUCAAAGAAACAAACUAACACAUAUGAUGUUGAUAUUGAAUUCGGUGAGGAGCAGAAGGGUAAUGAUAGCAUUCCUAAAAGAAGCAAUGUUCAGGGUAUUUUUUCAACCAACUUGUGGCCAGUCUAUCUUUAACCAUUUAUUUUCUAGUGUUAGAAAUAGCACAUAUAAAGGGCAAAAGACCUUCCCUGACACAGAAUACCUAUCAUAAGGACAACUAAAAACGUUUUAACUACAUUUUUGCAAUCCAAUUUUGUCCUUACUAUAUGCAGUUAAAUGUAACUAGAGUAUACAACUGGUCCCAGGCAUCCAGAGUUACAUUGCUCUUUGAAUUCAAUCUAAGUAUUGUUUUUAGGAAGAAUAUUUUGUCUAACAUUUAAAACCUUGAGGAUACAAAGAUGCUUUGAAUGCUAUGAAUACAUAUAGUCACGGGG
This 966-nucleotide unclassified non-coding RNA is filed under the name Dendronephthya gigantea. RNAcentral describes it as "uncharacterized LOC114521717, transcript variant X2". The record is from RNAcentral. Lineage: Eukaryota; Metazoa; Cnidaria; Anthozoa; Malacalcyonacea; Nephtheidae.